UACGUAGGGUGCAAGCGUUAAUCGGAAUUACUGGGCGUAAAGCGUGCGCAGGCGGCUUUGCAAGACAGAUGUGAAAUCCCCGGGCUUAACCUGGGAACUGCAUUUGUGACUGCAUGGCUGGAGUGCGGCAGAGGGGGAUGGAAUUCCGCGUGUAGCAGUGAAAUGCGUAGAUAUGCGGAGGAACACCGAUGGCGAAGGCAAUCCCCUGGGCCUGCACUGACGCUCAUGCACGAAAGCGUGGGGAGCAAACAGGAUUAGAUACCCUGGUAGUCC
This 273-nucleotide ribosomal RNA is filed under the name uncultured bacterium. Its description in RNAcentral is "partial 16S ribosomal RNA". It matches the Rfam family "Bacterial small subunit ribosomal RNA", at positions 524 to 796 of the family's 1533-position model. The record is from RNAcentral.